UACGAAGGGGGCUAGCGUUGCUCGGAAUCACUGGGCGUAAAGCGCACGUAGGCGGCUUUCUAAGUCAGGGGUGAAAUCCUGGAGCUCAACUCCAGAACUGCCUUUGAUACUGGAGAGCUUGAGUCCGGGAGAGGUGAGUGGAACUCCGAGUGUAGAGGUGAAAUUCGUAGAUAUUCGGAAGAACACCAGUGGCGAAGGCGGCUCACUGGCCCGGUAUUGACGCUGAUGCGCGAAAGCCAGGGGAGCAAACGGG
RNAcentral lists this ribosomal RNA (253 nucleotides) under uncultured bacterium. Its description in RNAcentral is "partial 16S ribosomal RNA". It matches the Rfam family "Bacterial small subunit ribosomal RNA", at positions 524 to 776 of the family's 1533-position model. The record is from RNAcentral.